Molecule: long non-coding RNA, 818 nt
Filed under: Ananas comosus (pineapple)
Lineage: Eukaryota; Viridiplantae; Streptophyta; Magnoliopsida; Poales; Bromeliaceae
Description: long non-coding RNA (ACOM_LNC028970)
Source: RNAcentral
AUUUGAAGUUUCUAGAAAAUAAUUUUUGCGAUUUUUUGAUAUCAUUUACCUAGUGAUGGAAAGGAUUCAAAAUCUAUAAUUUUUAAUUGUUGAUAUCUGCCGUUUUCAAGUUUAACGGUGUAGAAGUAUUCAAAUCAGAUGAAAUUUCGAUAGAAAAUUCUUUAUACUAUCUACAACAAGAUCUAUAUUUCUGAUCGAAAAUUUUAGUGCUAUAUCACCACUUUUUAUAGGAUUUUUAUUUUCAGCCGUUAAAAAUUAUUGAUUUUGAAUCAUUUCGAUUGCUAGGUAAAUGAUAUCGAACAAUCGCAAAAAUUAUUUUCUAAAAACUUUAAAUACGCUAGAUCAAGUUUAACGAAGCCGAUCGUCGAUUCGAAAACUCCAUCAUCGAAAACGGCUCAGGAGCACGGAGGCCUCCAUGCUCCUGAGAGCACAGCAGCCCUGCUAUAUAUAUAUAUUCUAUACUAUAUAUAAAAGCAAAACUAAAUUAUUAAUUAAAUAUAAUUUUAUAUUUUUGAAUUUUUUAGUAAAAUAUUCAAAAGUAAUACCCGCCAAAAUAUUUUACGUAUUUUUCAAAUACAGAGCAUAUCUUAAUACACUCGCAUAUAAUAUCUACAUAUCUUUGCAUAUAAUAUCUACACUAUCCAAUUUUCUUAUCAUAAUAUUUAUUCACAGAAUAUAUAUUUUUUGAGACAUAUUUUUAGUAAUAUCUUUUUUAUUUUUACCUAUAUUUUUAUCAAAUAUAUUUUUUUAGUAAUAUCCUUUCUUAUAUGUCCCUAUUGCUAGCACAAGUAUAUAGUAGCAUAUCGUCAUCGUCGACA